RNAcentral lists this long non-coding RNA (359 nucleotides) under Ananas comosus (pineapple). RNAcentral's name for it is "long non-coding RNA (ACOM_LNC024861)". Lineage: Eukaryota; Viridiplantae; Streptophyta; Magnoliopsida; Poales; Bromeliaceae. The record is from RNAcentral.
UCAGCUCAAUAUAGAUCUCAAUAUAGGUUGAAUAUAUAUAUGUUACAAAUUUCUACUUAUUUGGAUUUUUGACCAACCCAAAUAUAAAGAGAUCUAUAUUUGGUGCUUUUUAAUUAUUAGAUUAAGAUUCUUUUCUCUUUUUUUUUUGUAAUUUUCAUCCAGUAGUAACGCUAAUUAUCUAACUUAAUUGUUCACAAACCAACUCGUGUGUUUGGCUUGUAAAUAAGUAAGUUAAAUAAGAGCUAGAUUGUUCAGCUCAAUAUUUUAAUAGACCAAUUUGUGUUUGGCUUGAUUAAUAAACAAGCGAAUAAGCUGAUCUCAGCUCACUCGUGUUCAGCUCAUUGAUUGCCCUAUUCACA